This 358-nucleotide RNase P RNA is filed under the name uncultured Phocaeicola sp. Its description in RNAcentral is "Bacterial RNase P class A". It matches the Rfam family "Bacterial RNase P class A". Rfam says of the family: Ribonuclease P (RNase P) is a ubiquitous endoribonuclease, found in archaea, bacteria and eukarya as well as chloroplasts and mitochondria. Its best characterised activity is the generation of mature 5'-ends of tRNAs by cleaving the 5'-leader elements of precursor-tRNAs. Lineage: Bacteria; Pseudomonadati; Bacteroidota; Bacteroidia; Bacteroidales; Bacteroidaceae. The record is from RNAcentral.
AGUUGGUCGGUUUGUCGCUGGUACAUGUGUGUACAAGAGGAAAGUCCGGGCAACACAGAGCAUCCUACUUCCUAACAGAAAGCUGCCCGCGAGGGUGGAGUAAUGCAGAAGAAAAUAACCGCCUUUUCUUUCGGGAAAAGGUAAGGGUGAGAAGGUAGGGUAAGAGCCUACCAGCCGUAUAGCGAUAUGCGGGCUGUGCAUCUUAGGAGUUGUAAGGUCAUGUAAACCGGCAUUAAUGAGGGUUGCUCGCCCCACGUCGGAGGGUAGACCGCUAGAGCCUACUGGUGACAGCAGGCGUAGAUAAAUGACAGACACCUUAUUUUUAUAAGGAACAGAACCCGGCUUAUAGACUGACUGC